CGUGGAGACAGGUGGUGCAUGGCUGUCGUCAGCUCGUGUCGUGAGAUGUUGGGUUAAGUCCCGCAACGAGCGCAACCCUCACCUCUUGUUGCCAUCAGGUCAUGCUGGGCACUCUAGAGGAACUGCCCCGGUCAACGGGGAGGAAGGCGGGGAUGACGUCAAGUCAUCAUGCCCCUUACGUCCUGGGCUACACACGUGCUACAAUGGCCGGUACAAUGGGAUGCGACGCCGCGAGGUAGAGCUAAACCCAAGAAGCCGGUCUAAGUUCAGAUUGGAGUCUGCAACUCGACUCCAUGAAGGAGGAAUCGCUAGUAAUCGCGUAUCAGCACGACGCGGUGAAUACGUUCCCGGGCCUUGUACACACCGCCCGUCACACCACGAAAGCCAGCUGUACUCGAAGUCGCUGAG
Molecule: ribosomal RNA, 408 nt
Filed under: uncultured Methylomirabilota bacterium
Lineage: Bacteria; Methylomirabilota (SeqCode)
Description: bacterial SSU rRNA
Rfam family: Bacterial small subunit ribosomal RNA
Source: RNAcentral